Pezoporus flaviventris is the source of this 685-nucleotide long non-coding RNA. RefSeq lists it as uncharacterized. Lineage: Eukaryota; Metazoa; Chordata; Aves; Psittaciformes; Psittacidae. The record is from RefSeq and is a predicted model, not a curated record. The transcript is spliced from 2 exons.
UAAAGUAGGUUGGUGCCCUCUACUUCACAAGUCUAAUGAACAAAUCCUGACAUGUUUGGGUGGAGGGAGGUACAAGAGGACAAGGAGGGGGUAUGAGGAGGGCAGGGUGAGGAGAGGGGUACAAUCAAGUGGGACUACUUGCCUGUCUUCAGAGAUUGCCCACCAAGGGGCCCCUGUGUGUCCCCUGCAAAGUACAAAGAGGAGCCCAGUCCUGGAGCUCCACAUUUGGCACCAGACAAUCUGUUUAUUGCCGGUGCAGCUUUGAGGCUUUCCACUGUGUUGCAAGACACAGGCAUUGCUCUCUGCAAAAGUGGAAAUCCAGAACAAAUUUCCAACUUGAGAAGAAAUGGGUGUGGAGACAAUGAGGACAAACCCCAGCAGGACUCCUGAAAAAAAGACCACAUGAAGCGGAACAGCCAUCUGAUAGGCCUGUGAAUCAGGAAACAAUCCCCAAGUUAAUGUCCUUACAGGACAUUUAAAAAGCUCUAGCCAACUAGCUGAGGAGGUAGAAGACAGAAGUGUUCCCAUACAGGCCUGCAGCAGUUAAAGAAUGAUCAGAGAGAGGACAGUGGCUUUCGUGGAGGAGUGGGGUAAAAAAACCCAAACAACAAAAUCCUUGGAAAAGCCUCACUAAUGACUGACACCCAUCAUAACCAUUAAUAAAGUAUCUUUUUGCAUUAAUUGA